AGCUGUAUAGCUCAGUGGUAGAGCGCUUCCCUUCCAAGUUCAAGGCCCUGGGUUCCAUUCCUAGUACUGCUC
RNAcentral lists this transfer RNA (72 nucleotides) under Dipodomys ordii (Ord's kangaroo rat). It matches the Rfam family "tRNA". From Rfam's summary of the family: Transfer RNA (tRNA) molecules are approximately 80 nucleotides in length. Their secondary structure includes four short double-helical elements and three loops (D, anti-codon, and T loops). The record is from Rfam by way of RNAcentral. Lineage: Eukaryota; Metazoa; Chordata; Mammalia; Rodentia; Heteromyidae.